ACGGGAGGCAGCAGUGGGGAAUAUUGGGCAAUGGGGGAAACCCUGACCCAGCGACGCCGCGUGAGCGAAGAAGUAUUUCGGUAUGUAAAGCUCUAUCAGCAGGGAAGAUAAUGACGGUACCUGACUAAGAAGCACCGGCUAAAUACGUGCCAGCAGCCGCGGUAAUACGUAUGGUGCAAGCGUUAUCCGGAUUUACUGGGUGUAAAGGGAGCGCAGGCGGUACGGCAAGUCUGAUGUGAAAGCCCGGGGCUCAACCCCGGUACUGCAUUGGAAACUGUCGAACUAGAGUGUCGGAGGGGUAAGUGGAAUUCCUAGUGUAGCGGUGAAAUGCGUAGAUAUUAGGAGGAACACCAGUGGCGAAGGCGGCUUACUGGACGACAACUGACGCUGAGGCUCGAAAGCGUGGGGAGCAAACAGGAUUAGAUACCCUGGUA
This 434-nucleotide ribosomal RNA is filed under the name uncultured Roseburia sp. RNAcentral's name for it is "partial 16S ribosomal RNA". It matches the Rfam family "Bacterial small subunit ribosomal RNA", at positions 341 to 792 of the family's 1533-position model. The record is from RNAcentral. Lineage: Bacteria; Bacillati; Bacillota; Clostridia; Lachnospirales; Lachnospiraceae.